This 499-nucleotide ribosomal RNA is filed under the name uncultured Bacteroidota bacterium. Its description in RNAcentral is "bacterial SSU rRNA". It matches the Rfam family "Bacterial small subunit ribosomal RNA", at positions 8 to 506 of the family's 1533-position model. The record is from RNAcentral. Lineage: Bacteria; Pseudomonadati; Bacteroidota.
AGGCUUUGAUCCUGGCUCAGGAUGAACGCUAGCGGCGGGCCUAAUACAUGCAAGUCGAGGGGUAUAAGUCUUUCGGGACUUAGAGACCGGCGCACGGGUGCGUAACACGUAUGUAACUUGCCCCUAACAGGAGGAUAGCCUUCCGAAAGGAAGAUUAAUACUCCAUAGUAUAUUAAGGUGGCAUCUUUUUAAUAUUAAAGCUGAGGCGGUUAGGGAUAGGCAUGCGUCCCAUUAGCUAGUUGGUAAGGUAACGGCUUACCAAGGCUACGAUGGGUAGGGGGCCUGAGAGGGUGAUCCCCCACACUGGUACUGAGACACGGACCAGACUCCUACGGGAGGCAGCAGUAAGGAAUAUUGGGCAAUGGACGAGAGUCUGACCCAGCCACGCCGCGUGCAGGAUGACGGCCCUAGAGGUUGUAAACUGCUUUUGUAUAGGAAGAACAGAGGUUACGUGUAGCCUUAUGACGGUACUAUAAGAAUAAGCAUCGGCUAACAUCCG